This 498-nucleotide ribosomal RNA is filed under the name uncultured Acidobacteriota bacterium. RNAcentral's name for it is "bacterial SSU rRNA". It matches the Rfam family "Bacterial small subunit ribosomal RNA", at positions 355 to 840 of the family's 1533-position model. The record is from RNAcentral. Lineage: Bacteria; Pseudomonadati; Acidobacteriota.
UAGGGAAUUGUUCGCAAUGGGCGCAAGCCUGACGACGCAACGCCGCGUGGAGGAUGAAGACCUUCGGGUCGUAAACUCCUUUCGACCGAGAUGAAUACUCGCCGACCUAACACGUCGGCGAGCUGACAGUAUCGAGGGAAGAAGCCCCGGCUAACUCCGUGCCAGCAGCCGCGGUAAUACGGGGGGGGCAAGCGUUGUUCGGAAUUACUGGGCGUAAAGGGUUCGUAGGUGGCCUGCUAAGUCAGACGUGAAAUCCCUCAGCUUAACUGGGGAACUGCGUCUGAGACUGGCGGGCUUGAGUGCAGGAGAGGAACGCGGAAUUCCAGGUGUAGCGGUGAAAUGCGUAGAUAUCUGGAGGAACACCGGGUGGCGAAGGCGGCGUUCUGGACUGCUACUGACACUGAGGAACGAAAGGCCAGGGGGAGCAAACGGGAUUAGAUACCCCGGUAGUCCUGGCCCUAAACGAUGAAUGCUUGGUGUGGCGGGUAUCGAUCCCUG